RNAcentral lists this long non-coding RNA (857 nucleotides) under Homo sapiens (human). Its description in RNAcentral is "non-protein coding ZNF426-DT:21". Lineage: Eukaryota; Metazoa; Chordata; Mammalia; Primates; Hominidae. The record is from RNAcentral.
CGAGGCAGAAAAAUUCUACUUUCCAUCUGCUUGGCUGCGGAGGACCUUGGGGUGGGCUCAGCGUGGGGGCUGCAGGCAGAAAUGGGUCCAGAAGGCAAGGUCGAGGUUAGAGCCAAGCCUGUGGGCAGGGCUACGGGCAGGGGGCGGGGAGGAAUGUGGGUCCAGGCCCAGAGGAAAAGGUUGAAGUUAUAGCCAGGCCUGUGGGCGAGGCCGCAGCAGGGCGGCCAUAGGGGAAGGAGCCAAUGUGUUAUGCAUGUAGAAAAUAGACAAAAUCUCACUCUGUCACCAAGGCUGGAGUUCAGUGGAGCCAUCUCAGCUCACUGCAACCUCCACCUCCCAGGUUCAAGCGAUUCUCCUGCCUCAUCCUCCCAAGUAGCUGGAAUUACAGGUGCAUGCUGCCACACCCUGCUAAUUUUUGUAUUUUUAGUAGAGGCAGGGUUUUGCCAUGCUGGCCAGGCUGGUCUUGAACUACUUGUCAGGCCUCUGAGCCCAAGUUAAAUCAUCAUAAACCCUGUCACCUGCACGUAUACAUCCAGAUGGCCUGGAGCAACUGAAGAACCACAAAAGAAGUGAAACAGCCAGUUCCUGCCUUAACUGAUGACGUUCCACCAUUGUGAUUUGUUGCUGCCCCACCCCAACUGAUCUCUUGACCUUGUGACAUUCUUCUUCUGGACGAGUCUCAGGAGUUCCCCACCGAGCACCUUGUGACCCCCGGCCCUGCCAGCAAAAGAUAACCACCUUUAACUUUCCACUACCUACCCAAAUCCUAUAAAACUGCCCCACCCCUAUCUCCCUUUGCUGACCCCUUUCUCGGACUCAGCCCACUUGCACCCAAGUGAAUAAACAGCCUUGUUGCU